This 392-nucleotide ribosomal RNA is filed under the name uncultured bacterium. RNAcentral's name for it is "bacterial SSU rRNA". It matches the Rfam family "Bacterial small subunit ribosomal RNA", at positions 49 to 486 of the family's 1533-position model. The record is from RNAcentral.
UUAUACAUGCAAGUCGAACGAAGUAGCAAUACUUAGUGGCAGACGGGUGAGUAACAUGUAGGUAUCUUCCCUUUGGUGAGGAAUAACACGAGGAAACUUGUGCUAAUACCUCAUAAGUCUUUACGGAGAAAGCUUUAUGCGCCAAAGGAUGAGCCUGCACUUGAUUAGUUUGUUGGUGGGGUAAUGGCCUACCAAGACUUUGAUCAAUAGCUGAUCUGAGAGGAUGAUCAGCCACAUUGGGACUGAGACACGGCCCAAACUCUUACGGAAGGCAGCAGUAGGGAAUCUUGGACAAUGGGCGAAAGCCUGAUCCAGCCAUGCCGCGUGAGUGAUGAAGGCCCUAGGGUUGUAAAACUCUUUCGCCAGGGAAGAUAAUGACGGUACCUGGUAAA